Molecule: RNA transcript, 1351 nt
Organism: Diuraphis noxia (Russian wheat aphid)
Lineage: Eukaryota; Metazoa; Arthropoda; Insecta; Hemiptera; Aphididae
Gene name: protein cornichon-like
Source: RefSeq, a predicted model, not a curated record
AUUCAAAAUAUUAUGCAAUUGAUGUCACCGAUUCGGCUUCGGCAUUUCUCGUCGUUCAUUUUAUAACAUAAAUAUUACUCAAUGGUUGUAUGUAGUUAACAAUUAACAUUCAACAAUCGUAGARUCGUUCUUCGUGCGGUCAAGACAUUCUACAUUUCUACGUGCCUACCUUUCAACAUUCGAAGGUUGUUCGAUUGAACUGUUUCUUUAUUUCGUUGUCGUCUGUACGCUCGUUUGGUUCUUCCGAUCGCCGGACAUCCGGUUGAUCUUAAAUUCCAGCUCACACCCACUUUAAGGACGUUGACGACUCCCUAGAGUCCAAAUCCGCAACUUUACGCCCAACAAAAACGUCCGUCGAUAGCCAUGACUUUCAACUUUCCAGCGUGCACCUACAUUGUGGCUAUGAUAACCGACGCUUUUCUGUUGUUCUUCUCGGUGUUUCACGUUAUUGCGUUUGAUGAACUGAAGAAUGACAGCAAGAAUCCUAUAGAUCAAUGCAACAGUUUAAAUCCAUUAGUGAUUCCAGAAUAUAUUUUACAUUUCUUCUCAAAUCUGUUGUUUUUGUUUGGAGGCCAGUGGUUGUCCAUUGCUAUAAAUGUUCCAUUAAUGGCUUAUCAUAUUUCAAAGUAUCGAAAUAGACCCGCUAUGUCUGGUUUUGGUCUCUAUGAUCCAACAAGUAUUAUGAAUGCCGAUAAAUUAAAUAGAUAUCAACGUGAAGGUUGGAUAAAAUUGGCAUUUUAUUUGUUCUCAUUUUUUUACUACUUAUAUGGAAUGAUAAGAGCAUUAAUCACAGCUUAAAUCUAAGAUCCUCUGAAGUCUGAACAUUCUUCUUGUACAMCUAUAAUAGAUUAAAAGUUAAAUAUAACUUUUGGCAGCGGAACAAUAAUCACCAGAUUGAAUAAACCCAACAUUUAUAAUUAAUUCAGUAAAUAUGUAUGUUACUGGCAAUCUGGAAUAUUGGAACUGUGAAUAAAAUAAUUUACAAUUAAGUUAAUUGUGCUGAUAAAUGAUAAAAAUUAUUUUAUUUAAUAGAUGGCUAAUUGUAAUACAUAAAUAAUAAUUGUAAGUACGACUACCAAGUUUUAGUUCACUUUUUAUUAACACAAUGUUUGUAAUCAUACUCCUUUUUAUAUUCCCACUCCCUUCGGCCACAAUCACCCCAUGCAAAGAAUACUUAGGUUUUAUAAUCUAGUUUAACUUURGCCUUUAAUUGUUAUAGUUUAUUUGCUGUUAUACUUAUAUUGUUUAGUGUUAUACUAUUAUCACAUUAUAUAACCUAUCUUAUAAUACACUUUUUUGUAAAAGCCCAUUGGUGUUAUUCCAAACAAUAAAUAAAACAUAAACAUUUUUA